Molecule: non-coding RNA, 4250 nt
Organism: Zootermopsis nevadensis
Lineage: Eukaryota; Metazoa; Arthropoda; Insecta; Blattodea; Termopsidae
Source: RefSeq, a predicted model, not a curated record
CCCUUAGUUUUAUUACGCGUAAAUAUUGGUGGGAAACCAUUAAAGAGUAUAUAAACGGAUGUGAUGCAUGUGCAAAACGAAAAACUGGACAGAGGAUGCUUGCGCCCUUAGGAGAGUCGCUAGAAGCAAGCGAAUUUUUAGAUGCUGUUUCGUUGGAUGUAGUGGGACCAUUACCACUCACGGAACAAGGGAAUAAAUAUUUGUUAACUUUUGUGGAUCAUUUUAUGAGAUUUUGCGAAGCAAUACCGAUUCCUAGUCAGGAUACAGAAACUAUUGCUAGAGAGUUUGUAACCAAGAUCAAAGUUCAAUUUGGGGUACCUAAGAAAUUAUUGACGGAUAGAGGAACUUCCUUUACAUCCGCUCUGAUGCUCGAAACUUGCAGGUUGUUAAAAAUUACAAACAAGCAGUUAUAACACCCAGGCUAACUGAAUUUGUGAACGCAUGCAUAAGUUGCUUGUUGACAUGUUGUCACAUUUUGUGCGUAAAGACGCAAAGAAUUGGGAUAAGUAUGCGCCUUACGCGGUAAUGGCGUAUCGAGCCACUCCUCAUACGUCAAAAAAUUAUUCUCCAUACUAUUUAGUAUAUGGAAGGGAUAUGCGUCUUCCGAAGACUCAGUUGGAAGGACACAAGGUAGAUUACGAGGAGCAUAUACAUAUGCUAGCUGAGCGAUUGCAAGAGGCUUACCAAGUAGCCGGGAAACAAUCUAAAAUGAGUCAUGAACUUGCGAAGAAAUACUACGAUACGAAAAUAAGAGAGGAAUGUUUCAAUAAAGGAGAUUUAGUAUAUUUGUAUAAUCCUAUUUUUAAAAGAGGGAAAGCUCAGAAAUUUUGAUAUAAGAUAUCGCCUUUGGUAUAUAAGAUUCGUGUAGACGGAGAAAAGUCAAUACUUGUUCAUAUAAAUCGCUUGAAAGGAGCGCGGGGAAAUAAUAAAACUAGUCGGGAAGGAGAUCACACUAAGCUAGAAGGAACGUCUAGAUUUAAUGUAACCCAAGAGGAAGUAGUUAGUGGCAGGAAAGUAACUACUCCCAAUUCAGUACAUGUUCAACAAGGAGAUAGUGAACCUAGAAGUCCAGGGGUUCGAGAUUCAGAAGACUAUAGUUGGGUUGAGUCACCUAACUCGGAGCAAGAAGACAAAGAAAUAGAUUGGGUUCCAGAUACACGAUAUUUUAAGCGAAAAAUUAGGAGGCAGUAGGCCUAUUAAUCAACCGGAAGUACCUGAGGAAAUAAUAGAAACGCGGCCGAUAACAGAAACCGAAUUAGUACAAAGUCCAACUACACAAUCCGUUUCACAUUCGUAUAACUUGAGGAAUAGAACUCAGUUUACUUGAAAUAACCAAUAUAGGCAAAUAUGAAAAGUAUUGGGAACUAGCCGUGUGAGUAAAAGUAACCUUUUGUUACAGGUAUCAUCUGUUGGAGGGGGGAAGUCAUAGCUCCCGAACCAGAAUCAAAACAGUACGACAAAGGACUCGUAUUUAUGAAAGAUAGGGAUAUACUACUCACCGGAGAUAAAUGGACCAUUGCAGUGAAUUAGCCUUAGAUGAUUAUCUAAACUUGAUUAGAGGUAGAGAUUUGCCUUAGUUCAAAUUUGGAAGAACAUACAAGUUCAUCGGAAUCAGUUUGAAACUUCCUUGGAUAUUUAUUGGGAGGAAGUAGGAAGAUUGGACCAGAUAACUAACGAAUUGGAAACUGACUUAGAUAGCUUUGCUAAACUAUUAUCGCAAGACGAUUCCGGCAAAGGUUCUGUACCCGGAACUAAGAGGAAUAAACGUGGAUUAAUUAAUUUGAUAGGACAUGGUUUGAAAUAUUUGUUUGGCACAGCAGACGCGAAGGAUGUCCAAAGAUUAAAUACUAGAAGUAGUGAAUGCAACUGAACAGCAGUUGACUUUUCUACAUACGUUAGAUGAAGCUUCAAGAUAAAAUGCACGAGACACCGUUGAUUUAGCAAAAGCUUUGAGAGACUCAAUUCAAAAUUUUCACUUAGAUUAGGCCGAAACGAUGCAGAUUUGCAUGACCUACAUGUGGCCAUGGAGAAACAAGUUAGGUAUAGUACUGCAAUACGUGAAAUAGAACUUGCAAUGCAAGAAAUGAAAUUUAGUUUGAUACAACUGCAGGAAUCACUAGAUUUAACCAGUAUAGGCAAAUUAAGCAGCACUUUGAUUAACCCACAUAAUUUGUCGAACAUAUUGAAGCAAGUUGGUUUACAUUUACCGGCAGGCACAUCGAUGUUAACUGGAUUAACGGUUGAAGAAAUGUACGUUUAUUACGCAGUAGCUAGUGUACAUGCUACCGCCACAACAAGAAUCAUUCGUUUAUUUAUUGACAUACUGUUGAAAGCUGCCCAUCCCUUACCUUUUUUCCAUAAGGGGAUUAAUAAAUUCAUGAUGACUGAUGAACCAUUCACUUAUUUGGCAGUGGCUGAAGAUCGACAGUUCUUUACAACCCUUGCGGUGCAAAUGUUGUCUCAGUGUACAAAAAAUUAUUACACAGUAUGCCCUUCAGAUUUUGUUUUAAGAAAAUCUGGACACCAAGAUUGUCUGGUGGCUCUGUUCUAUGGAAAGACAGACAUUGUAUUACAUGAAAACUUUGAACCUGUAUGGAUUAGGUCAGGGAAGACCCUGAGGGACCAGCUCAAGUACUGUCACCACCUUCAGCCAUCGAAACACUUAAUGAUCACUCAUUAUAUAAAAUGCAUUCAUAUAGCUGAACUGUAGUUAAGGUCAUGACUUCCACAGGAAAUCACGUGUAAUCUUAUUUCCUUUUGUUUGUACAUGUACCCAAUUAAAAUGUGCUAAAAAUGAGCGUAUAUCGUAAAGGUGAGGGUAGAUGUUAUGAGCACACUUGUACACUUAUAUUUGUAUACACAUACAAAUUCACCUGCUUACAUUUCUUUUGAUUUAUAUAUUAAGUAUUGAUUAUUUGAUAUUUCUUUAUUGUAUUUAAUUUUCUUGUUGAUACAUAUUGUAUGAGUUGUCAUCUCCUGAAGCAAGAACCGGUAAUAUUGCGGUCAGCUUCAACCAAAGUUGCAUCCUGUAAGACAAGCCCACCAGAGUUGCAGUUAGUUGGGAAACCCACGGCGUACGUGUCUUGGAGACAUGUGUUGUCAUUUUGGGGAAUAUAACGGAAAUGUUGUGGUAAAGAUGACACCAAUCAGUCACCUUCUUUUAUAGAGUUCAUUUUGAAAUUAGGGCGUGAUCAGCCAAUAGAGAAUCACGUAACAAAUAUUACUUGACAUGUGAUGCUGAAUGAAACACGUAUUUAAACGGAGACGUUUCAGAAGUUAGACACUUCAGUGUGCACAGAAUGUGAUUUAAAGGAACCUUGUUCAGGGGGGAGGUCGUCAGGUUAGUCCGAGCAUUCGACUAACAUGGGACUUCACAGAAUCGAACAGAUAUGGGUGUUUCUAUUGGCAUACUCAUGUUAUCCAGUAACAGAGGCUAGCUGUUUCUGACAGACCUAAUAGAGUAGGUUCCCCCCAGCCCAUCCUCACACCUGAGGAUGAUGAGAGAGGCACUCUUCAAAACACCAGGAGUUCUUGUUGCUGUUUCUGCUGUGCUGAUGACAGAACAGUCUUCAGCUGUUGUACUGGGGCCCCUCCAGCACUUGGCUCCUGUCCUGCUUAUAAAACAGUUUAUUCAAUACCAUAUUUAAAUAUAUAUACAUCUAACUGAUAUUUCUUCUAGAAUUUUCUGGAUGUUUUUAUGGAAAUAUAUCAUAACUUCACAUAUUUUGUUCCCAGAAUUGAUGUAAUUUAAAAAUAAGCAACAGCAUACCAUGUGCUUCAUGACAACAAUAAUAAAAGUUGGAACUUUUCUAAGAACCUGAAUCACAUUCAGUUAACAUCCUGCAACCAGAAUAAGUGAAUCAACAAGCAGCUCUGUGAGUGAAAUCACUGUUGGAAAGACAUUCUGGAUUUGUCCAAUACAAUAUUAAGUUGUUUUAAAACAACUUCUGGCUCUUUCACAGGGUAUGAAUUUGUGUGGAACUGUAUAACUAGAAUGUGACUCCCAACAUGUAUAAUAUGCACUUUGGCAUGGCACAACACAAUACCAAGAAGUGUACAUGCAAAGUAGUGAACCACGUAGCUUAUGCACAGAAUUUAAAUGUAUUUUAUAAAACAUCGCAAUGAAAUAUGAUAUAAAAAUGCCUGUACUAAACAACUGAAGCACAAAACAUGUCUUGUUUACAAGUUACUUGAUGUGGAAACAUUAAAUAUGACACUGAAUAAAAAGUUUUGAUAAGUAUAGAUCACUA